RNAcentral lists this non-coding RNA (776 nucleotides) under Actinotia intermediata. Lineage: Eukaryota; Metazoa; Arthropoda; Insecta; Lepidoptera; Noctuidae. The record is from RNAcentral.
UUAUGGUUUUAAAAAUUUAUUUUAAAUUUAUUUUACAUAUAAAUUUUAGUGUUAUUUUUAAAUUAUUUUAAUAAUAUUUAAAUUUAAAAAGUAGUAAUUAAUAUUAAAUUAUUUAAGAAAUUAAGAUUUAGUAAUAUUUUAAUUAAUAACAAAUUUUGUGCCAGCAGUUGCGGUUAUACAAAAAUUAAAUUAAAUUUUAUUAGUAAUUAAUUAAUAAUAUUUAAAAAUAUAAUAUAAAUUUUAAAUUAUUAGGUAAAAUUUUAAUUUAAUAAAAUUUUAUUUUAGAUUAUUUAUGAUUUAAUAAAUUUUAUAAAAAACUAGGAUUAGAUACCCUAUUAUUAAAAAUUAAAAUUAAUAUACUAAAAUAGUAAAUAAUUAUUUAUUGAAACUUAAAUAAUUUGGCGGUAUUUUAGUUCAUUUAGAGGAAUCUGUUUAAUAAUUGAUAAUCCACGAAUAAAUUUACUUAAUUUAUAAUUUUGUAUAUCGUUGUUAAAAAAAUAUUUUUUAAUAAAUUUAAUAUUUAAAAAUUUUUAUAAAAAAUUAAAUCAGAUCAAGAUGCAGAUUAUAAUUAAGAAUAUAAUGGAUUACAAUAAAUUUAUUUAAAUGAAUAUUAAUUUGUAAUAAUUAAUUGAAAGUGGAUUUAAAUGUAAUUUUAUUUAAUUUAAUAAAAUGAUUAAAAAUUAAAAUAUGUACAUAUUGCCCGUCGCUUUCAUAUAAUAAUAAAUUGGAAUAAGUCGUAACAAAGUAGAGGUACUGGAAAGUGUUUCUAGAAUGAA